Molecule: ribosomal RNA, 435 nt
Filed under: uncultured bacterium
Lineage: Bacteria
Description: partial 16S ribosomal RNA
Rfam family: Bacterial small subunit ribosomal RNA
Source: RNAcentral
AACGAACGCUGGCGGCAUGCCUAACACAUGCAAGUCGAACGAUUGCCCUCGGGUGUUGUUGGCGCACGGGUGCGUAACGCGGGGGGAUCUGCCCUUAGGUCCGGAACAACAGCUGGAAACGGCUGCUAAUACCGGAUGAUAUCGCGAGAUCAAAGAUUUAUCGCCUGAGGAUGAGCUCGCGUUGGAUUAGGUGGUUGGUAGGGUAAGCGGCUACCAAGCCGACUAUCCAUAGCUGGGCUGAGAGGGUGGUCCGCGACACUGGGGCUGAGACGCGGCCGAGACUCCUACGCAAGGGAGCAGAGGCGAAUAUAGGACAAUGGGGGCAGGCCUGAUCCAGCUAGGCCGGGUAAGUGAUGAAGUCCGUAGAGAUGUAAAGCUGUUUUACCCGGGAAGAUAAUGACGGUACCGGGAGAAUAAGCCCCGGCUAACUACGUG